GACGAACGCUGGCGGCGUGCUUAACACAUGCAAGUCGAGCGGAAAGGCCCUUCGGGGUACUCGAGCGGCGAACGGGUGAGUAACACGUGAGUGAUCUGCCCUGUGCUUCGGGAUAGCUUCGGGAAACCGAAAUUAAUACCGGAUACGACAUGCGCCUGCAUGGGUGUGUGUGGAAAGUUUUUUCGGCACAGGAUGUGCUCGCGGCCUAUCAGCUUGACGGUGGGGUAAUGGCCUACCGUGGCUUCGACGGGUAGCCGGCCUGAGAGGGUGACCGGCCACACUGGGACUGAGACACGGCCCAGACUCCUACGGGAGGCUG
This 319-nucleotide ribosomal RNA is filed under the name uncultured Actinomycetes bacterium. RNAcentral describes it as "bacterial SSU rRNA". It matches the Rfam family "Bacterial small subunit ribosomal RNA", at positions 28 to 351 of the family's 1533-position model. Lineage: Bacteria; Bacillati; Actinomycetota; Actinomycetes. The record is from RNAcentral.